UACGUAGGGGGCUAGCGUUGUCCGGAUUUAUUGGGCGUAAAGAGCGUGUAGGCGGCCAGGUAGGUCUGGUGUGAAAACCCAGGGCUCAACCCUGGGCCUGCAGUCGAUACGGGCAGGCUAGAGUGCAGUAGGGGAGACUGGAAUUCCUGGUGUAGCGGUGAAAUGCGCAGAUAUCAGGAGGAACACCGGUGGCGAAGGCGGGUCUCUGGGCUGUAACUGACGCUGAGGAGCGAAAGCGUGGGGAGCGAACAGG
This 253-nucleotide ribosomal RNA is filed under the name uncultured bacterium. Its description in RNAcentral is "partial 16S ribosomal RNA". It matches the Rfam family "Bacterial small subunit ribosomal RNA", at positions 524 to 776 of the family's 1533-position model. The record is from RNAcentral.